This 119-nucleotide ribosomal RNA is filed under the name Pteropus alecto (black flying fox). Lineage: Eukaryota; Metazoa; Chordata; Mammalia; Chiroptera; Pteropodidae. The record is from RNAcentral.
GUCUACGGCCAUGCCACCCUGAACAUACCUGAUCUUGUCUGAUUUUGGAAGCUCAGCAGGGUCGAGUCUGGUUAGUACUUGGAUGGGAGACUGCCUAGGAAGACCAGGUGCUGUAGGCG